RNAcentral lists this ribosomal RNA (433 nucleotides) under uncultured bacterium. RNAcentral's name for it is "partial 16S ribosomal RNA". It matches the Rfam family "Bacterial small subunit ribosomal RNA", at positions 29 to 507 of the family's 1533-position model. The record is from RNAcentral.
AACGAACGCUGGCGGCAGGCCUAACACAUGCAAGUCGAGCGAGGACUUCGGUUCUUUCGGCGGACGGGUGAGUAACGCGUGGGAAUGUGCCCUUCUCUACGGAAUACCUCUGGGAAACUGGGAGUAAUACCGUAUACGCCCUAUUGGGGAAUGAUUUAUCGGAGAAGGAUCAUCCCGCGUUGGAUUAGGUAGUUGGUGGGGUAAUGGCCUACCAAGCCGACGAUCCAUAGCUGGUUUGAGAGGAUGAUCAGCCACACUGGGACUGAGACACGGCCCAGACUCCUACGGGAGGCAGCAGUGGGGAAUCUUAGACAAUGGGGGCAACCCUGAUCUAGCCAUGCCGCGUGAGUGAUGAAGGCCUUAGGGUUGUAAAGCUCUUUCAGCUGGGAAGAUAAUGACGGUACCAGCAGAAGAAGCCCCGGCUAACUCCGUG